This 375-nucleotide ribosomal RNA is filed under the name uncultured bacterium. RNAcentral describes it as "bacterial SSU rRNA". It matches the Rfam family "Bacterial small subunit ribosomal RNA", at positions 521 to 896 of the family's 1533-position model. The record is from RNAcentral.
UAAGACGAACCGUGCGAACGUUAUUCGGAUUCACUGGGCUUAAAGGGCGCGUAGGCGGUCGAUUUAGUCCGGGGUGAAAUCUUUCGGCUUAACCGGAAAAGGGCCUUGGAUACUGGUCGACUUGAGGGAGGUAGGGGCAUGUGGAACUUCCGGUGGAGCGGUGAAAUGCGUUGAUAUCGGAAGGAACGCCGGUGGCGAAAGCGACGUGCUGGCCCUCUUCUGACGCUGAGGCGCGAAAGCCAGGGGAGCAAACGGGAUUAGAUACCCCGGUAGUCCUGGCCCUAAACGAUGGGUACUAGGUAGUGGGCUUAUAUGGGUUCACUGCCGAAGCAAAAGUGAUAAGUACCCCGCCUGGGGAGUAUGGUCGCAAGGCUG